UACAGACGGUCCGUAUGUUAAAAAUGUG
Molecule: non-coding RNA, 28 nt
Filed under: Bombyx mori (domestic silkworm)
Lineage: Eukaryota; Metazoa; Arthropoda; Insecta; Lepidoptera; Bombycidae
Source: RNAcentral